CAUUACCGAGUUUACAACUCCCAAACCCAUGUGAACAUACCUACUGUUGCUUCGGCGGGAUUGCCCCGGGCGCCUCGCGUGCCCCGGAUCAGGCGCCCGCCUAGGAAACUUAACUCUUGUUUUAUUUGGAAUCUUCUGAGUAGUUUUUACAAAUAAAUAAAAACUUUCAACAACGGAUCUCUUGGUUCUGGCAUCGAUGAAGAACGCAGCGAAAUGCGAUAAGUAAUGUGAAUUGCAGAAUUCAGUGAAUCAUCGAAUCUUUGAACGCACAUUGCGCCCGCCAGUAUUCUGGCGGGCAUGCCUGUCUGAGCGUCAUUUCAACCCUCAUGCCCCUAGGGCGUGGUGUUGGGGAUCGGCCAAAGCCCGCGAGGGACGGCCGGCCCCUAAAUCUAGUGGCGGACCCGUCGUGGCCUCCUCUGCGAAGUAGUGAUAUUCCGCAUCGGAGAGCGACGAGCCCCUGCCGUUAAACCCCCAACUUUCCAAGGUUGACCUCAGAUCAGAG
RNAcentral lists this ribosomal RNA (502 nucleotides) under Clonostachys aff. rosea ROG-2010. Its description in RNAcentral is "eukaryotic LSU rRNA". The stretch from base 162 to 315 matches the Rfam family "5.8S ribosomal RNA". Lineage: Eukaryota; Fungi; Ascomycota; Sordariomycetes; Hypocreales; Bionectriaceae. The record is from RNAcentral.